RNAcentral lists this non-coding RNA (89 nucleotides) under Bacillus sp. OK048. RNAcentral's name for it is "c-di-GMP-I riboswitch aptamer". It matches the Rfam family "c-di-GMP-I riboswitch aptamer". Rfam says of the family: GEMM was predicted in a large-scale screen for bacterial structured RNA regulatory elements. The record is from Rfam by way of RNAcentral. Lineage: Bacteria; Bacillati; Bacillota; Bacilli; Caryophanales; Bacillaceae.
UACAGAAAAAGGCAAACCUAUUGAAAAAUAGGGACGCAAAGCCGAGGGUCUAAGGUAUGAGAUUUUACUAUGAUGGCCGGGUUACCUGG